UUCUCUCUUUCUUUCAAGUUUCGCUCUGUUGUCCAGUCUAUUCUCCAAACAGCAGCCAGAGUGAUUGUUUCAAAAUAUUAAUUGGAUCACAUCCCUUCUCAAUUGAAAACCUUCCAGUGAUUCUACCUCAGAAUCAAAGCCAAAGUCCUCACCGUGGCCCCAAGGCCCUGCGUGAACUGGCCCCCGUUGCUUCUCUGACCUCAUCUCCUGCCACCCCAAUCCCCCAGUGGGCUCCAGCCACACUCCCUUCUUGCUCUUCCUCAAAUACAUCAAGCUCCUUCCUGCUUCAAGGGCUUUGUCCUUUGUUGUUGCCUCUCCUGGGGACACUUUUCCCUACCUCCUCCAUGCCAGACCUCCACCUGACACCUCCAGCUCAGGUGUCACCGCCUCAGGGAGGCCUCCCCUGACUGCCAUCUAUUGAAACUCCAUCCUCAGUCAUUACAACAUCCUGUGUUGAUUUCCUCCAGGACAGCCGGAUUUUACUGUUACUGGUUUUGUCUGUCUCACCAUUAAAAUGCAAGCUCUAUAAGGCAGGGACCUUGUCUCCCUCUCUUUUUUUCCCCCCCCCUCUAGAACUGUAUUCCCUAGGAAUUAAAACAGCCCUGGCACAGAAUCAGCUCUCAAUAAAUCUUCCUGUAAUGCAAUGAGAACAGCAAGUGGGCUUUCUCCCUAGGCGCACAGGGGAUACUGCAGUUGUCCUGAGGGAAUGAGUUCUUUUUGUUUAUUGUUUUUUUUUUUUUUUUGAGAACAGUCUCACUCUGUCCCCCAGGCUGGAGUGCAGUGGCAAGAUCUCGGCUCACUGCAAUCUCGGCUCACUGCAACCUCCGCCUCCCAGGUUCAAGCGAUUACUCCUGCCUCAGCCUCCUGAGUAGCUGGGAUUACAGGCAUGCGCCACCAUGCCCGGCUAAUUUUCAUAUUUUCAGCAGAGAUGGGGUUUCUCCAUGUUGGCCAGGCUGGCCUCAAACUCCUGGCCUCAGGUGAUCUGCCCGCCUCGGCCUCCCAAAGUGCUGGGAUUACAGGUGUGAGCCAGUGCACCUGGCCGGAAAUGAGGUCUUAUUGUAAUGCAAGGAGAACCUCUUCCUUCAGCAGGUGGAGGUGUGCUGAGGGGACCACAUUCCCAGCAUUCAGUGGGGCACAGAUGGAGCUGUGAAGAUCAUUCUUUCUUCCAUCCAGGGGCAGCACGGGGACUACAUUUCC
RNAcentral lists this long non-coding RNA (1197 nucleotides) under Homo sapiens (human). RNAcentral's name for it is "HSALNT0261138". The record is from RNAcentral. Lineage: Eukaryota; Metazoa; Chordata; Mammalia; Primates; Hominidae.